Molecule: transfer RNA, 72 nt
Filed under: Myxococcales bacterium
Lineage: Bacteria; Pseudomonadati; Myxococcota; Myxococcia; Myxococcales
Description: tRNA-Lys
Rfam family: tRNA
About the family: Transfer RNA (tRNA) molecules are approximately 80 nucleotides in length. Their secondary structure includes four short double-helical elements and three loops (D, anti-codon, and T loops).
Source: RNAcentral
GGGUCCGUGGCGUAACGGCAGCGCACUCGGCUCUUGACCGAUGAGGCGAGGGUUCGAAUCCCUCCAGACCCA